CAGAGGUUUACUCUAAUUUUCUAUUAUUAGGUUAUAGUGCCUUUUGCAUCAUGCUCAGGCGACUUUUUUUGAGCAAUCCUCUUAAAUCGAAAAUUUCGGAUCUUACGCUUGUUAGUCUAUCAAUGCUUGCCGAGUAGGUUGGUGCAUUAGUAAAUUGAGCGAUAUGCUGUGAAAAAUUAAUCGACGAAGUUUAUAGCUAUUUUUCAGUUGUUAAUUUUAUAUUAGUGUUAGGGCGAAGAUGUCUUAAUACAUAGUAUGCCUCGUUACAAUAGCAAUUAUGGUGAGGUUAAAGUUACCUCUAUGUCAUAGUCUUGUUACAAGGUUUAAUAUUUUGUUUGACGGCUACAUUUAUGCACUGAAUUAUACUAAAGGUUUGUUUAAUCUAUGCUUGAAUAAGUAAUUUUAAUGAGCUUGUUAUUUCUCAAGUUUCUCCCGCCUGUUUAUUAAAAACAUCUCCAUAAUCAACUAUUUAUGGUAGUACCUGCUCUAUGUGACUAAUAAAUGGCCGCAGUAUCUUGACUGUGCGAAGGUAGCAUAAUUAAUUGCCUUAUAAUUGAAGGCUUGUUUGAAAGGUUUGACGAGGGGAAAACAAAUAUUAAGUGCUUAGGUGAAAUUAUAGUGGAGGGCACAGAUACCUCUCUUAUUAAUUAGACGGAAAGACCCCGGGAUCUUUCUAUUUUGCCUGGGGCAGGUUGGAGUAGUUCAUUUCAAUUAUGACCCUUAUUGGUUUAGUGGUGUAAGUUACCCCGGGGAUAACAGUAUAAUAGCUUAUAAGAGACCUUAUCGAUUAAGUUGUUUGUUACCUCGAUGUUGACUUAGGCUAUAGUUAGGCGCAGUAGUUUAGCUUGUUAGGUCUGUUCGACCUUGUAGCCUCCAUGAGUUGAGUUAAGACCGGUGUAAGCCAGGUCGGUUCUUAUCUAUUUUUCAGGCUUGUUAGUACGAAAGGACCACAAGUUUUUUUAUU
This 964-nucleotide ribosomal RNA is filed under the name Rhinebothrium sp. 1. Its description in RNAcentral is "16S ribosomal RNA". It matches the Rfam family "Bacterial large subunit ribosomal RNA", at positions 566 to 2708 of the family's 2925-position model. The record is from RNAcentral. Lineage: Eukaryota; Metazoa; Platyhelminthes; Cestoda; Rhinebothriidea; Rhinebothriidae.